Molecule: ribosomal RNA, 1013 nt
Filed under: Acinetobacter ursingii
Lineage: Bacteria; Pseudomonadati; Pseudomonadota; Gammaproteobacteria; Moraxellales; Moraxellaceae
Description: bacterial SSU rRNA
Rfam family: Bacterial small subunit ribosomal RNA
Source: RNAcentral
CCANNNGGGAAUUUUGGCAAAGGGGGGGAAACCUUUUCCAGCCAUGCCGGGGGUUGAAGAAGGCCUUUAGGUUUUAAAGCACUUUAGGUGGGAGNNGGUGGUGGUGUUAAAAUUACCAGGUAUUGACGUUACUGGCAGAAUAAGCACCGGCUAAUUCCGUGCCAGCAGCCGCGGUAAUACGGAGGGUGCGAGCGUUAAUUGGAUUUACUGGGCGUAAAGCGUACGUAGGCGGGUUAAUUGAGUUGGAUGUGAAAUCCCCGAGCUUAACUUGGGAAUUGCAUCUGAUACUGGUUAGCUAGAGUGUUGGAGAGGAUGGUAGAAUUCCAGGUGUAGCGGUGAAAUGCGUAGAGAUGUGGAGGAAUACCGAUGGCGAAGGCAGCCCUCUGGCCUAACACUGACGCUGAGGUACGAAAGCAUGGGGAGCAAACAGGAUUAGAUACCCUGGUAGUCCACGCCGUAAACGAUGUCUAUUAGNAGGUUGUCUCUUUGAGGGAUUAGUGNCGCAGCUAACGCGAUAAGUAGACCGCCUGGGGAGUACGGUCGCAAGAUUAAAACUCAAAUGAAUUGACGGGGGCCCGCACAAGCGGUGGAGCAUGUGGUUUAAUUCGAUGCAACGCGAAGAACCUUACCUAGUCUUGACAUCCUGAGAACUUUCCAGAGAUGGAUUGGUGCCUUCGGGAACUUACAUACAGGUGCUGCAUGGCUGUCGUCAGCUCGUGUUGUGAAAUGUUGGGUUAAGUCCCGCAACGAGCGCAACCCUUUUCCUUAUUUGCCAGCAAUUUGGUUGGGAACUCUAAGGAGACUGCCAGUGACAAACCGGAGGAAGGCGGGGACGACGUCAAGUCAUCAUGGCCCUUACGACCAGGGCUACACACGUGCUACAAUGGUCGGUACAAAGGGAAGCUACCUCGCGAUAGCAAGCUAAUCUCCAUAAAAGCUANAGUCGUAGUCCGGAUUGGAGUCUGCAACUCGACUCCCUGAAGUCGGAAUCGGUUGUAAAUGCNGAUCAGAAU